This 496-nucleotide ribosomal RNA is filed under the name uncultured bacterium. Its description in RNAcentral is "partial 16S ribosomal RNA". It matches the Rfam family "Bacterial small subunit ribosomal RNA", at positions 30 to 523 of the family's 1533-position model. The record is from RNAcentral.
AUUGAGCGCUGGCGGAAUGCUUUACACAUGCAAGUCGAACGGUAGAGGGGGCAACCCCUCGAGAGUGGCGAACGGGUGAGUAAUAUAUCGGAACGUGCCCAGUCGUGGGGGAUAACGUAGCGAAAGUUACGCUAAUACCGCAUACGAUCUAAGGAUGAAAGCGGGGGAUCGCAAGACCUCGCGCGAUUGGAACGGCCGAUAUCAGAUUAGGUAGUUGGUGGGGUAAAGGCUCACCAAGCCAACAAUCUGUAGCUGGUCUGAGAGGACGACCAGCCACACUGGAACUGGGACACGGUCCGGACUCCUACGGGAGGCAGCAGUGGGGAAUUUUGGACAAUGGACGCAAGUCUGAUCCAGCCAUUCCGCGUGCAGGAUGAAGGCCCUCGGGUUGUAAACUGCUUUUGUACGGAACGAAAAGGUCUCUCUUAAUACGGGGGACUCAUGACGGUACCGUAAGAAUAAGCACCGGCUAACUACGUGCCAGCAGCCGCCGUAA